RNAcentral lists this transfer RNA (88 nucleotides) under Acidimicrobiia bacterium. Its description in RNAcentral is "tRNA-Ser". It matches the Rfam family "tRNA". Rfam says of the family: Transfer RNA (tRNA) molecules are approximately 80 nucleotides in length. Their secondary structure includes four short double-helical elements and three loops (D, anti-codon, and T loops). The record is from RNAcentral. Lineage: Bacteria; Bacillati; Actinomycetota; Acidimicrobiia.
GGAGAGGUGACCGAGCGGUCGAAGGUGACAGUCUUGAAAACUGUUGAGGUUCACGCCUCCGCGGGUUCGAAUCCCGCCCUCUCCGCCA